CGGCGGCGGCCCGACGGGGAGCCGCGGCCCGACGGGGCGCGCCGGGCAACGGUCAGCCGCCCGGCUCGCCUCCCGGGCCGCCGUC
Molecule: transfer RNA, 85 nt
Filed under: Pseudonocardia sulfidoxydans NBRC 16205
Lineage: Bacteria; Bacillati; Actinomycetota; Actinomycetes; Pseudonocardiales; Pseudonocardiaceae
Description: tRNA-Val
Source: RNAcentral